AAGGCUAAAACUCAAAGGAAUUGACGGGGGCCCGCACAAGCGGCGGAGCAUGCGGAUUAAUACGAUGCAACGCGAAGAACCUUACCAAGGCUUGACAUAUAGAGGAAACGGCUAGAGAUAGUCGCCCCGCAAGGUCUCUAUACAGGUGGUGCAUGGUUGUCGUCAGCUCGUGUCGUGAGAUGUUCGGUUAAGUCCGGCAACGAGCGCAACCCUCGUCCUAUGUUGCCAGCACGUAAUGGUGGGAACUCAUGGGAUACUGCCGUGGUCAACACGGAGGAAGGUGGGGAUGACGUCAAAUCAUCAUGCCCCUUAUGUCUUGGGCUUCACGCAUGCUACAAUGGCCGGUACAAAGGGCUGCAAUACCGUAAGGUGGAGCGAAUCCCAAAAAGCCGGUCUCAGUUCGGAUUGAGGUCUGCAACUCGACCUCAUGAAGUCGGAGUCGCUAGUAAUCGCAGAUCAGCAACGCUGCGGUGAAUACGUUCCCGGGCCUUGUACACACCGCCCGUCAAGUCAUGAAAGUCGGUAACACCCGAAGCCGGUGGCCUAACCUUUUGGAGG
RNAcentral lists this ribosomal RNA (558 nucleotides) under uncultured Actinomycetes bacterium. RNAcentral's name for it is "bacterial SSU rRNA". It matches the Rfam family "Bacterial small subunit ribosomal RNA", at positions 890 to 1449 of the family's 1533-position model. The record is from RNAcentral. Lineage: Bacteria; Bacillati; Actinomycetota; Actinomycetes.